Molecule: ribosomal RNA, 440 nt
Filed under: uncultured bacterium
Lineage: Bacteria
Description: partial 16S ribosomal RNA
Rfam family: Bacterial small subunit ribosomal RNA
Source: RNAcentral
CCUACGGGUGGCUGCAGUGGGGAAUAUUGGACAAUGGGCGCAAGCCUGAUCCAGCCAUGCCGCGUGAGUGAUGAAGGCCCUAGGGUUGUAAAGCUCUUUCGCCAGGGACGAUAAUGACGGUACCUGGAUAAGAAGCCCCGGCUAACUUAGUGCCAGCAGCCGCGGUACUACGAAGGGGGCUAGCGGUGUUCGGAAUCACUGGGCGUAAAGCGCACGUAGGCGGAUUUUUAAGUCAGGGGUGAAAUCCCGAGGCUCAACCUCGGAACUGCCUGUGAUACUGGGAGGCUUGAGGCCGGGAGAGGUGAGUGGAACAGCGAGUGUAGAGGUGAAAUUCGUAGAUAUUCGCAAGAACACCAGUGGCGAAGGCGGCUCACUGGCCCGGAACUGACGCUGAGGUGCGAAAGCGUGGGGAGCAAACAGGAUUAGAUACCCGAGUAGUC